This 45-nucleotide non-coding RNA is filed under the name Schistosoma curassoni. The record is from RNAcentral. Lineage: Eukaryota; Metazoa; Platyhelminthes; Trematoda; Strigeidida; Schistosomatidae.
AUUCAGAUAACAAGUCCCAAAUUGGACGAAACGCGCGUCCUGGAU